ACUGGAUUUGCUCGUAGUUCAGCUCGGCUCAAACAGGUCGAGUCUAGAAAUAGGCUGACGCAUAGACCCUCGAAGUGGGUCAAAAGAAACCCGGUUUCCUAUACCUAAAACGAUGCCGUUUUCUUUGUUCUAUAAAAGCCCUCUCUUUGUUUUUUUGUUGUCAUUUUUCACUUUUCUCUUAUCUGUGUUUUCCAUCCUCCUAAGGCUCUCUCUAAUAUUCAGAUGAAUCUCAGCACAGUUUUUCAGAUUCUGGCCAGUGAGUGCCACGCUAUUCACUGUCGUCGAAAUUGUCCGGAAAGCACUCCGCGAACUCGUCUGGCCUCCUUUUUUAUGUUCUCGAAUUGGUUUCUUCAUAAACUUGCUGGGCUUUUGUCAAUCUGAGCUUGAAGUUACGAUUCUGUUCCUGUUUUCCGCCGCUCUGAUGGCCACCAAAUUUGGAUCUCGUGUUGGUGACCUUGGACUGUUGGUGGUAACCAUGAUUGUUGUUGAAGCUCUGGGAUGGCUAUGGCCUUGGCAGUGGAAGGUUAUUGUGGCAUUUAAGGAUUAGACUAGAAAUUGAGUUUACUAAUUGUUAACUCAAAGAAAUAGGUUCAGUAUUGGGAUUGGAUGAUUAUGUGUUUGCUGGUUGGUUUUCUUGUUAAUAAUCACUUGUAUAUUGUGUGUUUUCCCUAA
Durio zibethinus is the source of this 672-nucleotide long non-coding RNA. RefSeq lists it as uncharacterized. Lineage: Eukaryota; Viridiplantae; Streptophyta; Magnoliopsida; Malvales; Malvaceae. The record is from RefSeq and is a predicted model, not a curated record.